AUUGAACGCUGGCGGCAUGCCUUACACAUGCAAGUCGAACGGUAACGCGGGGGCAACCCUGGCGACGAGUGGCGAACGGGUGAGUAAUACAUCGGAACGUACCCAGUAGUGGGGGAUAGCUCGGCGAAAGCCGGAUUAAUACCGCAUACGACCUAUGGGUGAAAGCGGGGGAUCGCAAGACCUCGCGCUAUUGGAGCGGCCGAUGUCGGAUUAGCUAGUUGGUGAGGUAAAGGCNCACCAAGGCUACGAUCCGUAGCUGGUCUGAGAGGACGACCAGCCACACUGGGACUGAGACACGGCCCAGACUCCUACGGGAGGCAGCAGUGGGGAAUUUUGGACAAUGGGCGAAAGCCUGAUCCAGCCAUGCCGCGUGUGUGAAGAAGGCCUCGGUGUAAG
This 396-nucleotide ribosomal RNA is filed under the name uncultured bacterium. RNAcentral describes it as "bacterial SSU rRNA". It matches the Rfam family "Bacterial small subunit ribosomal RNA", at positions 29 to 429 of the family's 1533-position model. The record is from RNAcentral.